This 28-nucleotide non-coding RNA is filed under the name Homo sapiens (human). Lineage: Eukaryota; Metazoa; Chordata; Mammalia; Primates; Hominidae. The record is from RNAcentral.
UGCCUGGUGCACAAAAUGGAUCUGGUUC